CCUACGGGUGGCUGCAGUGGGGAAUAUUGGACAAUGGGGGCAACCCUGAUCCAGCCAUGCCACGUGUGUGAAGAAGGCCCUCGGGUUGUAAAGCACUUUCAGUGAGGAAGAACGCCUGGUGGUUAAUACCCAUCAGGAAAGACAUCACUCACAGAAGAAGCACCGGCUAACUCCGUGCCAGCAGCCGCGGUAAUACGGAGGGUGCGAGCGUUAAUCGGAAUUACUGGGCGUAAAGCGCGCGUAGGUGGCUUGAUAAGCCGGUUGUGAAAGCCCCGGGCUCAACCUGGGAACGGCAUCCGGAACUGUCAAGCUAGAGUGCAGGAGAGGAAGGUAGAAUUCCCGGUGUAGCGGUGAAAUGCGUAGAGAUCGGGAGGAAUACCAGUGGCGAAGGCGGCCUUCUGGACUGACACUGACACUGAGGUGCGAAAGCGUGGGUAGCAAACAGGAUUAGAUACCCUAGUAGUC
RNAcentral lists this ribosomal RNA (465 nucleotides) under Vreelandella stevensii. Its description in RNAcentral is "partial 16S ribosomal RNA". It matches the Rfam family "Bacterial small subunit ribosomal RNA", at positions 338 to 795 of the family's 1533-position model. Lineage: Bacteria; Pseudomonadati; Pseudomonadota; Gammaproteobacteria; Oceanospirillales; Halomonadaceae. The record is from RNAcentral.